GAUGAACGCUGGCGGCGUGCCUAAUACAUGCAAGUCGAGCGAACAGACGAGGAGCUUGCUCCUCUGACGUUAGCGGCGGACGGGUGAGUAACACGUGGAUAACCUACCUAUAAGACUGGGAUAACUUCGGGAAACCGGAGCUAAUACCGGAUAAUAUAUUGAACCGCAUGGUUCAAUAGUGAAAGACGGUUUUGCUGUCACUUAUAGAUGGAUCCGCGCCGCAUUAGCUAGUUGGUAAGGUAACGGCUUACCAAGGCAACGAAGCGUAGCCGACCUGAGAGGGUGAUCGGCCACACUGGAACUCGGACGCGGUCCAGACGCCUACGGGAGGGAGCAGUAGGGAAUGUUCCGCAGUGGGCGAAAGCAUGACGGAGCAACGCCGCGUGAGUGAUGAAGGUGUUCGGAUCGUAAAACUCUGUUAUUAGGGAAGAACAAAUGUGUAAGUAACUAUGCACGUCUUGACGGUACCUAAUCAGAAAGCCACGGCUAACUACGUG
RNAcentral lists this ribosomal RNA (497 nucleotides) under uncultured bacterium. RNAcentral describes it as "partial 16S ribosomal RNA". It matches the Rfam family "Bacterial small subunit ribosomal RNA", at positions 28 to 507 of the family's 1533-position model. The record is from RNAcentral.